RNAcentral lists this unclassified non-coding RNA (3834 nucleotides) under Leishmania donovani. Its description in RNAcentral is "gene:LdHU3.32.1430(CDS-product:protein_kinase_put ative)". Lineage: Eukaryota; Euglenozoa; Kinetoplastea; Trypanosomatida; Trypanosomatidae. The record is from RNAcentral.
UUGGCUGCUAUUUCCUGUAGCCUUUCCCCAGGACUCGCUGCCUGUUGUUCUCUCGCUCUCACUGAUGGUGCCGCAGCAUCGCCGUGCCGUGUAAAAUAGAAAACGCAAAGGAGCUUCUACCGCAUUUCCACUCCCUCCCCCAGUGCGGCGACAGUCAGGCACCUGCCUCGAAGCUUUCCGGCUGUUGAUGCCGCCGGGCGGGUGCACGCAGGAGCGGACGCAGACACACACCCACAUAAAAGCUCAUAUAGCGGCAGUGACGGUGGACGUCUCUUCUGAUACUGACUGGUGCUGUCCGCCUCUUCUUUCCUUUUGCCUCUCCGCUUGCUGGUUUCUGCGUAGUUGUCGCGGACUGGGUGGGGGUACUGAACGCAGGUGGCCCAAAGACGUUAAAACUUGUCGAGUGAGACGCGUCAUCGAGCCAGAGGUCGCUGCGCCGUUGCUAUGGCCGCUUUCAUGCGUCUUUCACGCAUAACCGCAUACACGUACACCAUACACCAGACGUGAGGGAGUUUGCAGUCGGCGCGCGUGGGCGCUUUUGUUGUUUACGUGUUUGUGUUUAUUAUUUUUUUUUUUUUUCACAUUUCCUUUUGGCGGUUUAUGCGUUCGUUUCUUCUUUUUUUUUCACCCGCUGAGUGCGUGCGAAUGUGUUGCAGGGAGGGAAGGCUGGCAAAGGAAGAGGGAGCAGUAAUCGAGUGGAUGCCCACGAAAGGCAGCAAAACAACAGGUAAACGGAAAAAAAAGACGCCUGGCGCCGCCGUUUUCGCAGCAGCACCGCUGAACUCUUCGGUCCAGGCAGUGCGGUUGCGUGCUCAUACUCGGACGCGGCGCGUAGUGCAGGUGGGCUCCCCCCUCCCCUCAGCCCGUAUCACCACCAUCGCACGGCGUGCGUUCAUUCGAAUAUCUUUGCUAUCGUGAUAUCUGUCGAAGUCUGUCACCGAGCUCAUUCGGAAAGCUGAGGUGCUGGAGUACGGCUGUUUUUUCUUCGCAGAUAUCGGAUUGAGGGCGCAAGAAACAUGCGUGCGAAGCGCCCGCUCCGUAAGUCGGGGCCGUGCUUCGACCUGGCGGGGCUCAUGGAUCACGCAGCCCCUGAGCUGCAGGUGCAACAGAAGAAUGAGCAGGAGCUCAACAAGUUCUUCAUCGACGUGGAUGACAAUACCGUUUCACCGAUGAUCACGACCGGCCCCAGCUUUUGCGCGACGAACACGGCGGGUCUGUCGAGCAACAACUCCACGGUCGAAUUGACGGCAAGGGAGAUGGCAGGCACCGGCAGCAGCGCGUCGGUGGAGAAGAGGACGAUGGUGUCCUCGCAAAACGAGGCCAAGUUCAUUCACGUCAAUGACACCAAUAUCUUCGUGCUGAUUGACGGCAUCUCGAUGUUUGUGGAAGGAAAGAGUACGUUCACCGGGACAGAAGACGCACGCCUACUGGUAGAACGGCUGCGGCAGAAGAAACUCGCUCGUUCCGUGGACACGGUUCAGGAGGCCAUCUUGAACAUUCAAAUGUCGGCUGACCACUGCGACCGCAAAGAGACAGCUCCGGUGGUAUCUGCCGUCCCCUCCGGCUCCCCUGUUGUGCCAGCAGAAGCAUCGCCAAGGCAGUCCACAGCGAACACUCUCCCAACGAGCGUGCCGCCGCUUCAGAGCGCCGUCGCCCCAACCGCUCUACCUGUGCCGCUGCCGCCCCCAAAGCCGGUCCCCAUCGCGAAUCCGUGGGCGUCGCUGUUUGAAGACGCCAAGGUGCCAUCUGGCUCGCCUCUGUUUCGCUCCUUCAAGGCCAAGUCUCUAGGCAGCACCAGCAACCAUGGUUUUCCUCCUGUGCACAGCACGCUGCUGUGUGAGAGCGCCGAAACGGGUGCCACGCCAUCCUCGCCUGCGACAACGAUUUCGCCUGUGACGGCGACCACCCCGACAUCGGCGUUGUCGCCCACCACGGGCUUCAACGCCUCUAGCCGUCUCACGCACUCCGUCAGCUUCCCCAGUCUGCGUCACCAGGACAGCUCGUCGUCCCUCCUGUCAGCAACCUCGGGUGCCGGCCACCGCCACGGCGGACACGCCAGUCGCGGCGCAGCGGCGCGGCGGACAAAGCAGAUUUCGGCGGAGGAGAUCGGCCACAGCAACUGCUCGCUUGACAUGGAUGAGGUUGUGGUUGAGGCGAUGAUUGGAAAAGGCACUCAGGGAACGGUGUUCCGCGUCCGCUUGGAUGGCAAGUUGUACGCUCUCAAGUGCAUGAACAUUGACGAGGCGAUGAACGCGACGAACGACGUGGAGCGGCAGGGGUACAAGAAAGGGCUCGUGAAGGAGCUGACCAUGAUCACUCUGCAACGAUCGCGCCCAUCGCCGGCGAACCUCAUGCAAAUGUUCAACGCCGUGGCCUCACUCGAUGCGGAGAAGAAGCAGCUGAGCAUCCUGAUGGAGCUGAUGUCCUUCACAGUGGAGAACAUUCAGCAGAUGGUCUCUCGCAUCCCUAGCGAGGAGUUGAUGCGGGUCACUCAGUCGACGUUUCGAAACUACAUGUCCGGCGACCCGUCAGCGAAGCAGUCAAUGAAGGAGUGUUGCAAGGACCAGCUGCUUUACGGGUCUCCGCGGCAUGCUCUGGGCCGCAACACGUACAAGGAGCCGGCCGCAUGGGAGAAGAACGUGAAGCGUGAGACGCCGAUGCCGGAGGUGCUGCUCUCCAUGCUGGCUCGGGACGUGCUGAUGGGUCUGAACGAGCUGCACACGGACUACUCCAUCAUUCAUUGUGAUCUAAAGCCGGCCAACGUGAUGCUCUGCUAUGAUCAACAGAAGUUCAAGCUUGCCGACUUCGGCUGCGGCUCUGUGAUGGAGGACCGUCAGCACGUCGAGCGGCGAGGCAUCGACCUCGGCACGAUACUGUACAAGGCACCAGAGCGGUUCGUAGCGAACAUUUUACACCGCAUCGCCGAUAUCGACGACGGCGGCACCGGCGAGGCGGUGGUGUUCACGGCCAAGGCGGACGUGUGGUCCCUGGGCAUCAUGCUCAUGGAGUUGGCGGCUGGCAUUCACCCCUGUGAUCAGUUCAAGUCUGAUUUCUGGAAUUACAGCACCAUGUUGAAGCUCUCCAAGAUGGUCAAACCGCUCAAUUGGUCGGAGUCGUUUUACGACUUUAUUCUCCGCAGCGUCUGUGUCGAUGUGUCACUGCGAUGGUCUGUGCAGCAGCUCUUGAAACACCCGUUUGUCAUCAAGUUCAAUCACGUGCCGCGCGAGAAGCUGAAGCUGUUCGUGCAGCGCCUGGAGGCCGACAGCAAGACGUUCCACAAGCGCCAGCAGAGCGAGUUGCUCAAGGAGCAGAUCCUGCUCAGCACGACGCGUCGGCACAAGGACACGUUCCAGCUGCAGAGCAGGAAGGUGUGGUCGACGUACACCGCUUAUCUGAAGCAGGCGCCGCCCACCAAGGACCAAACCAUGUUUCCGGAGCUGCGUCACACGUAGCGAGGGCGAACUGGGUGGUUUGCGGUGCGGGUGUGAGGCACUGUUGGUGCGGCCGCAUGGGGCCUCUACCUCUUGGUGUAAUCUUGCACCUGAGACGCUAGAGCGUGUUCGUGUGUGUGUGGGUGUGUGUUUGGUGGCGGUGGGGAGGUGGAUCGUGGAGGAGGAAGGCAGUGCAUGCGAGGCGUGCACUCAGUAGUUUUCACUUGCCGAGAGGCUUCUACGCUGUCGUUACCUUUUUUUUUCUCCUUGUGGUGCGUUCUCUCAGGGGUGGAUCUACCUCCUGCCCCUAUCCGCCUUCUCUCAUGUGUGUUCUUUCCAUUUGUGCGUGAGGAAGCGCGACGGCGGAGGCGACAAGCGCACGUGCAUGCCCACACACUUGCAU